UCGAGCAUUGGUCAAUUAUCCCCAGCACUCAUCUUGUCAUCUCAUUUUUGCCUUUUUUCAAAUACCUACAAGCUUCACUCUGUGUAUAUAUGAAGUCAGUUUUAUUUUAUAAAUGAAGGGAAAAGGCACAUUAUACCUUUUGCGUUUUGUUUUCCUGCAAAAAAAAUAAAGUUGGCACAUAUGCAUAGAUGAGCAGGUCGGCCCUGCAUUCUGAUUUUGAGCUAAUCGCAUCAGUUUGCUUCAUUGUCCA
RNAcentral lists this unclassified non-coding RNA (250 nucleotides) under Hevea brasiliensis (rubber tree). The record is from RNAcentral. Lineage: Eukaryota; Viridiplantae; Streptophyta; Magnoliopsida; Malpighiales; Euphorbiaceae.